This 206-nucleotide unclassified non-coding RNA is filed under the name plant metagenome. Its description in RNAcentral is "partial contains small subunit ribosomal RNA, internal transcribed spacer 1, and 5.8S ribosomal RNA". The record is from RNAcentral.
UCUCCGUAGGUGAACCUGCGGAGGGAUCAUUACCAGAGAUGGCGGGCCUCCGUGCCCCCGUCCCCAACCCAUUGUUGACCAAAACCUUUUUGCCUCGGGGGCAGAGCGUCCGCCGCCGCCCCCGGAGGACCACCGAACGCUGUCUCUAUACGUCGGAGUAUUGAUUAAAUAAAUGAAAACUUUCAACAACGGAUCUCUUGGUUCUG